ACAUUUAAAACACAAUUGAAAAUUAUCAAAAGAAAAUAUAUUUAAAAUUUUUCCUUUUGGAUUUUAAAUUUGCAGAAUCUCUAAUCACAUCUUUUAUUUCCAUAUUUUUGGCUACUGCUCCUACUGCCGCACUGCUCUGAUUCAAUGAAUGUUUCACUCUUUUUGUGGUGCAUUUAAUUUUUAUUAUAUUAUGUUGUUAAUUUAAGAAAGGGUAAAGAAAAUAUAGACAGAGGAUUUGGGCUCCCCUGCAUUUUGAGGUCAAGUGCAUUGUAAUUCCACCAUUGGAAUAAAUACUGUUUGUAUCUAUGACAAAUAAUAAAAAUAUCUUGUCUCUGCUAACAACUUUAUAUGAUUAAAGAUAUAAAAAUGUGGAAUUCUGAUAGAGUCUUAUAUUUAGAAAUUCAAUUGCCAAGUAAAACAGUCGGGGAAUACAAUUUAUCAGUAUUUUCUGACAUCAGAGUUGUAAAGUGUGAACUUGAAAAGUUAUUGUCAAAAUUGUUUAAAAAGAGAAUGUGGGUAAAUAUAGCCAGAGUAAUGUUGGAAGAUGGCAAGAGUAAUGACAAACAUUUUAACCUGAAAUAAUUUAACAUUUAAUGAUAAAGAAUAUAAUUCUAUUACAAGAUUACAUUGGUAUCUAAUUUAUAUAUAAUCAAAGCAUUAAUGAUUUUUAACAAGCCAACAAAACAAAUAAUAAUAAAUUCAAUUUAAAUUUAGCUUUCAAACAGCAUUUUCAUUUGUGAUCCAAAAUAUGAGGAGAAUUCUGGAUAUCUUUGAGAAAGAGUCCUGGAUUUCUCUCUUAAUUCUAACACUGAAUUAUUCCUAAACAGGAUAAGAGCAAAUACUAAUAGGAAAUAAUAUUUUAUAUAGUAGACUACAUAAAAACAUUAAGAUGAUUUUUAAUGACAAUCAUUAACAAAAGCCCUUAAGACAAAAACUAUUUUGAGAUUUCAUCUAAUAAACUUGUUUUCAUUGAGACUUCAUCCUUUUGGUUUCUGCUUUCCCUUACUUAUUUCAUCUAUCAUUCAUGUUAUAUUGAGGAAGAAUUUCAAAUUGCCUUUCAGCCUUCAUUUGGUAAAAUGUUUUCUUUGUAUUAGAAUUGGAGGUAGAAAUUGUCAGAAAUAAAUUUUAUACUUGUUUUAGUAAGGCCAAUUUGAUCUGUCAUAUAAUUUGUCAGUUAUAUGAUUAUUAUUUCUUCUCUAUGGUAUUGUUUAUCACCAAAUUAUAGAAUUCUGUUCUCAUACCUGUACAAAAAGAGCAUUCAAAAACUAUAAAGGGAGUUCCCAACUUCAAUGAUCCAUACUUAUGGUGAUUAUUUAUUACAAAAAUCUGCAUUUCAUGAUAGCUGCCAUCAAUAAUUUUGUAAUAAUGAUGGUUAGCCAAACAGAGGGCUAAGUAGUUGCUAAGAUGGAAAUGUAUUAUGCAUCCACCAUGACAUUUUCACCAUCACCAUUAUGACAUAACAUAUGUAAUUGCUAUGUGAUAUCAUUAUUAUGAUCAUGUGAUGUCAUUGUGAUCAACCAUCUGAUUCCAAAUGCUAUAAUAAAUGAAUUAUAUGCAAA
Molecule: long non-coding RNA, 1559 nt
Filed under: Androctonus crassicauda
Lineage: Eukaryota; Metazoa; Arthropoda; Arachnida; Scorpiones; Buthidae
Source: RNAcentral